UAAAAUCGAAGACUUCCGGCGGCAAAUUCGGAUAACAAUAAACCAAGAUGAACAGAGAAAGUGAGUUAGCAAGGCAGUUGCAAGAAUGGACGACACAAUAAAUGAACUUCAACUUACAGUCGUCCCACUCAGCAGCAUUUAUCCAGUGAAGUUGAGAGCCUUGUAAAGGACCAGGAUCCGCAAUAUGGCAAUGUGUGACACAACAUGUAACAUCCACAGACUGAGAGUACAUUAUUACAGCCUGCAUAUGGACGCUGAACAGUUGAGACAGUAAAUGGCAACCUGGCAUUGUAUCCUCAUAUAGACUACGCACACUGAAAAAAGUUAAAGUUAAGAGUGAAGGUACCAUCAGGUUUUCAACAGCAAAUGCCAUAAGGUCACACUCCCUGACUGUUUUUCCGUUUGUGUGAAAUCUACUGAUGCCCUGGCACGGUAUCUGAAAUAUGUGCGGUGUCUUCACAACAGAUGGUGUGGUGCAUUGAAAAUAUCAUGGCAAUGUACCACGUAAACAGAGGUUCAAGUAUGAUGUUGGAAAAGUGAGGGAUCUGGCCAAAAAGCUGUCUGUUUACAAGAAUGUACAUUAGGUAUUACAGAUAUUUGGACAACUGAAGGCCAGAUUGGAUGGCAUAUGUUAAAGCCAGCUGUAUGCCCUCAAGGAACAGUAAAACGUACACUUUCCAGCCAUCCUGUGACACUCGAUCAACCAGACGGCUUCCACAUCUAUCCAGUGGGCAUGUGAGUUGACACUACGGUGGCCGCUCAACCAUGACACAAUUGAUCAAUCACAGCUAGAGUUCAGCCGAUGUUCACGAAACAGAGAAAGGGAAUGGUCUACUUUAGAGGUCACAUUGCUUACCGUUUUAAGCAAACACCACAGAAAGGUACAGACACGGGAGACAAUUGCUGAUGUAAUAAGCUACACCAGCAGUGCCUACAGUACAGGAAGAAGACUAUGAUGAAAAGCAUUCUCUUUGGUGGCGCUGAACUGACAUGUGGAAAAAUAUCAGAGCACAGAUGGCCAGACAGGAUGGGGACAUACCAGAAUAGAGAGGUCAUCAUGGAAGCAUAGUGUCAAUCAACACUGUGUAUGUAUACACAACAGAAAUCGCAUUCAUCAAUACAUUACAGAUUAGUAAAUCUCACUGGAGGCUGUUGGAAGAACCCAGAAUGUGACUACUGGAAUGAUUCAACACACAUUUAAAAGUGAUGAUGAAGAAAGUUGGGUCAAGUCAUUCUGUGAGCAUGGUUGAUAAAACAGGGAAUACUAUCACAUUGACCAAGUUCACUCAAAACCAAGGAAAAGAACUCCAAGUUACACUUCAACUAUUUUAGGCUUAAACUAAUUUAGGCCUUUGGACGCACAAAAGCUGCAUAAUGCUGCAUAUAUGUUAAAUCGAAAGAAAACAUAUUGUGUGAUCAACUAAACAGCCCCUGAAAGAGUCACAUGAUAUUAUUUACUGCUUGUGGUAUUUAAGCAUUUAAGUCCCUGGCAGUUAAGUAAAUACUGAAAUAUGAUGAUACUUCUAAUCCAAUCAUGUAAACACAAUAGCUAGAAAUAACAUAAAAUACAUUUCUAUAACAGCAAUUUCUGUAAGUUACAGUACCCCUAAUAAAAAAUUAAUUGAAUAAGAUACCUAUUGAAACAAGUUAUUAUAUUGACAAAAAAGAAAGAAACUAAAGAAAAUGCCAUCUUUUUUAUAUCUUAGAAGUAAAAAACAAGUGUUGCUGAGAUUCAUUCAAGAUGCACUCUUGCUCCCAAAUAAGAUUUACCAUAAUUAAUAGUAUUGUUUUAAUGUUCCAAAAAGGAGAAAUUAAUGUGGAAAACAAUGGUUCUUAUUAAGGAAACCGAGUUUAAUUCGAAAGAAAUAAGCAUAAAACACAGUAUAUCUACCUUAUGAGACUAUAGUAGACCACAGUAAAUCUUUUAUCAUUCACGAAUCAUUUAAUAUUUGUUGUGCUUCCUGCUAUUAAAUAGACGGUUACAAUCUUGCUAUCAGUAAUCAAUAUUUUCAAUAAGUGGAUUAUUGAGUAAGUAUAUAAAGGUUUAUCAGUCAAAAUUGAUGUUUGUUAUACAUGUGUAUGUAUUGAUUUUGAAUAAUAGUGUCAUUUUAAUUGUUUGAAUUGUCACUUUUUCCCAGAUAUUAGAAGUAACCAUUCAUCACAUUAUUUUGUAAAUUACCAAGGCUUUUACACGUUUUAACCACUCAUGAAUGGUAAUGAUCAAGCAAAAUCGAUUGAAACUCUGCCUCUUCUGUAAAACAAUAUUUAUUCAUUCAUUCUCAUUCAUGUACUAUCAACAAAUAUUCUAUGUAAUUAUGUUUUACUGGUUGUAUACACAAUAUUUGGUGACGUUCAUACCAUUUUUGCGCUGAGUACAUCUAAAAUUAUACCAUACUUUUCAUAAAUGUCAUACUAUAACAUUUAAAUGACAUAGGCAGUAGUUUACAGGGCUUCCAUUAAGAAUUUGAAACUGAAAGUAUGAACUUCCUGACCAUCAAUAUUGGAAGUUUUACAUUGAAAUUUGGAAGUUACAGUUUCCCUUAAUACAAUUUUUUCCAGUAUUUUUUAAAUAGUAUGUUAAAAAUCUAAUAAUUUAAAAUUAUAUCUUGCCAGAUUCACAGUUUUAUGUUAUAAUAAUUCAUUUUACUUCAAGACUGAUUGAAAUUGUGAGCAUAUUAGUAAUAUUGACACAAGGUUUUGAUAUUUUGAACUUCCAAGCGUUUGGCUUUGGAAGUUUUCUUCAAAAUUAUGGAAGUUUUUGUAAUUCCAAGAAAUUAAUUUUGGAAGUUUAAAUCCAUUUUUAGGGAGUAGUAUACUUCCAAACUUCCUUUAACGGAAGCCCUGAGUUUAUAUAUUAAUUAAUAAGAUGGUUACAAAAACAUGUUGUUAAUGAUGUAUUUGGGAUAUUGUUUACUUAAUACACCUGAAAGUCAAAGUCACACAAUGUCACACAAGUUUUUCCUUUGACGUCAUACUGUGUUUUAAACUUUGCAUAUCUUAGACUGUAAUUAAAACAUUAAUAAAUAGUCUUUCAAUGGUAAUAACUGUGUCUACAACUGCAUAACAAAGUAUAUUUGUAUUUUAAUUCCAAAAUUGUAAUAUUCAUGUCAUUAAUACAUAAUCUCACUACAUUAGCUCAUACAUGUUUUAUAUAUUGAAUUGUGGCCGAUUAUGUAGCCGGUUUGUUUAUCUUUCUUUUAUUACAAGGGCAUUACAUCAUUUUUAUAACUUGCACUCUUAUAUUGAAACAAAGGCACACAUGCAGUUAACAUGCAGUUGAGAGUAAAUUAUUCUUGUUUUUCACAUCCUUGAGAGUAAUAUAUAUGCAUAUUGAAUUAUUAAUUACUCUUUUUGUCAGAAAAUAUGACAAUAUGAUGGUGUUCAAAAGGCUGUAUUGUAUGGUAAAUAUAAGUUACUGCCAGUAUACUGUUAAACCUGUAAGUGUACAUAAAUUAUAUAUGAUAUAUGUUGAUUAAUUGCAUUUGUAUUUAGUCAGAAUAAACCAAACCUUUAUAUAUUAAAUGGAUUUUUUGUACAAUUUUCUGAAUAAUACCAGUACAGAGAAUAGUGUUAAGUAGUCUCACUCCUACAAUAGCUCUGAGUCUUAGAAGUUUUGGCUAAUUUUCAAUUUGAGACUUUGAGCGAAUGCAUUUUGCAAGCCAUGUAAUAUAAAACAACAGAUCAGACCAAUUGAUUUCAACACUUUUAUUAACUUUUAUUACACUCAUACAUUAGUAGCAACAAGAAUUCUGGUUUCCAUUCAAAACAGUGUCUUGGACCAAGGUCUCCAUGCAGAUAAUUUAUGUACCCAAACCUGUAGGAGGCCUGUACUGUUAGGGGUAAACUACUUUUGUGGUAAAAACGUACUGGUCAAGAACCAUCUACCACUCUACAUACAUGUUAAUUUGAGGACAAAAACACUAUUAAGCGGGACCUUUUGUAUUAAAUGUUUUAAUUUAGUUUAUUUUUCAAAAAAAUAAAUAAUGACAAGUGCAGUUCAGUAUAUUUGGAUGCCAUAAUCUGAAACAUAACAACACCGAUGAUGAAAAACUUCUUUAACCCUUAAUCUCCGGCAAAUGAAGAGAUUGUGGAAAUGUCAUUUCCCCAAGGGUAGGUGGGGCUGGAAAACCCUCAGUCUGCGCGGCAGUCAUGCCAUCCUUCCAAAACAAGAGAACGGCAGAUGAACAGUACCUUAAAAAUACCUGAAAAAUAGACACAUAUUGUUACACAACAUUAUUAAGGAUCAGAUAGGCAUUACCAUAUUUACCCCCGACGACUACCAGUUCAAUUCUUUGUCAAGUCUGACGAAGAAGCUGUACCAAAAGUAAAACACAUCUAGUCUUUCUAGUAAAUGAUUUUAGGUUUAGUCGGCUAUAGAUUGAUAGAUAGAUAGAUUUCAGUAAGGAAUGCAUAUACGUACAUGGACAUGUAAAAUAAACAACAUAUAUAGUAAAUAACAUUAUACAUAUAUGAUAUUAUCAAUAGCCAGGACAGGCACACCAAACCAAGGAUGACACACAAAAAAGAAAACUCUUAUUUCCAUUGUGGUCUUUUGUUUUGGCGACAUGGCAUAGAGAGGCAUUGCAUUUUUAAAUAAUAAUAUGGCUGUAAUCGAAGUUGCACAAAUAUAUUAAAAGUUAGUCUUUAUGCAUUAAAAUAAAUACUGCUGCAGAUGUAUCACAGUCACUUUACAUAAUUCCACCUAGAUAUGUAUUUCGGGAAAUGUUAUUAUACACAUGCUAUUGACUCUUAUGUUUUAUUUUACCAUAUUUCGUAAAAACACUUUUAUGGCAUUAACAAAUGCUCUAUUUUCAUUCAAAGCUUGUGUUACGUUUUCCCUUCAUCCAUACGAGUUAGACCAGGCCUGUCACUUAGUACCUUGACGUUGAG
This is an RNA transcript of Mya arenaria, 4890 nucleotides long. It is a transcript of the gene named HAUS augmin-like complex subunit 5, with no coding region annotated. NCBI's taxonomy places the organism in Eukaryota, Metazoa, Mollusca, Bivalvia, Myida, Myidae. The record is from RefSeq and is a predicted model, not a curated record. The transcript is spliced from 10 exons.